UUCAGCUUCUAAGUGCCUUGCUGCAGGGAUCCAGCCUGUCACAAGCAUGAAACUGUAGUGUGUGCACUGCCCCACCACUGUGGGAACUGUACUUCUGCAAAAAAAGUGUCAGCCAGGCUGAGUGGAGCCAUUUGUCUUCUCCUAAGCUAAGCAGUGAAGGAUGCAGUGCAGAGGUGCUGCUGUAUAAAACUUACUGCAUGGUUUUAAGCACUGGCAUGAUCCUGGUAAAUGUUAAAAGACAAUUUGUGCAGUGAAGUUGAAGAACAAUCUUGGUUUAACCAGAACUGCUCUGAGAGUUUGGUGACUGCUCAGGAGCAGUGCUGCUUUCCUUCAUGUUCAGGCUGAGAUAUUUGGUUGCGUUCAGCACAGCAGAUGCUCUCAGAUGGACUCUGCCUUCAUCUGAGAGUCAAUAACUUCAAGAAAUUGAGGGCUUUGAAGGUUGGGUGUCUUGACACUAAAUUGCAUAGCCAAAGAAGAAUUCACUGAGAAACUCUAGUGACAAAGGGCACAGCCUGCCUCAUGAGCCCACAGAAGAACACUGCUCAGAAGAGAUGAUUGCCUAAGGGUAGGACAGGGCCUGUGCCAAAGAGGAAGAAGCUGGUCCAGAGAGCUCUUGCAUGGUGCACUGUGGCUGGUCCCACAGCAGCAGACAGCAGUGGGAAAGCAAGCUGGAGUGCAGGAUCCUGAGAACAUGGCCAGCAAAUCCUGCCCAGGGGACCAACAGCAGGCCCUCCACAGCCAAACCCAACAGACCCUGGGACUGCAGAUUGUCUUGACAACAGAUGGAUAUACAUGUUUGCUCUCAGUCUGAAGUCUGGUCACAGUCCUUGUCAAAUCCCCAAAAAUGUUGCCUUCUGCCAGCAAGCAUUACUACUGUUUUAUCUGGAUGGAACCAAGAGUAUCAGACUUUCAUCCAGACACUGGGGGCCACUCUGGAUUUACACUGGAAUAACACCAAUGUUACUGAGGUGCCAACAGAAAGAUGUCUCCAUGAAAGCUUUUGCCUCUCAACUUCAUAGUCUAUGGGGGUGAGGAAUAUUCCUCAAGACCAGCCCAAGUCUCCAGAGUAUUCAUUGUGUUGCAACAAUUACUUUGGUUGCUGCUUUAUUUUUUUCCCCUUUCUUUUCCUUUUUUUUCUUUCUUCUCUCCCCUCUCUCCUUCUUUUAUGUAUUCUUCUAUGUAGUUAUGGAAUAAUACAUUUUUAUGUAUUUCUCCUUCUAUUAUGUAUUUCU
Molecule: long non-coding RNA, 1232 nt
Filed under: Cyanistes caeruleus (blue tit)
Lineage: Eukaryota; Metazoa; Chordata; Aves; Passeriformes; Paridae
Description: lncRNA (ENSCCEG00000019925.1)
Source: RNAcentral